Long non-coding RNA from Vespula vulgaris, 5861 nucleotides. RefSeq lists it as uncharacterized. The transcript is spliced from 3 exons. NCBI's taxonomy places the organism in Eukaryota, Metazoa, Arthropoda, Insecta, Hymenoptera, Vespidae. The record is from RefSeq and is a predicted model, not a curated record.
UAAGUACAAUAAAAGCCAGAGUCGAAGUUAGUCGCGAUUCGACAGUGAAGAGAAGCAGUUCUGUAUUGAUCGUUAUACGUUUCAUUAUUCAUUUUUUGUAUUAAUUCCAUCCUAAUAAAAGUCUAACAAAUUAUCUGCAUUAUGAUGCCAAACAAGAAGAUAGAUUCGUGGUUGGAAUGCAAAAAAAUUUUACGACCAUAUAAAUCGCUAUAUAAUAUAUAUAGAUAGCAUAAAUAUAGUUGGAACAUGUAAUCACUACUAGAGUUGUUAAAAUAACGCAAUGUUAAUUGUGUCGUAUAUUGAUAGUCCGAUAAUCGUAAAAAGAGCAUCGAUAUUCGAGAAAUGCGAUUAAACAUUUAUAAAUACGAGUAAUAAAGAGUGUAAUGAAAUAACAUUCGAAAAAUUCUUGGACACACCAAGGAGAAAGAAAAGUAAACAAAUAGAUCUACGAGCGACCAACAGAAACGUGAAUAACAUUAGAGGACAAAGCAAUCGAUACGAAAGUAGUAUGAUGUACUGACAAAACCUGAAAGAGAGCAGAGAAGUAUGGCUGAAAUCGAGCAAAGUUGCUCUGGCAUAAUUAUUUCCAACAACACACGGACAGGCUACGUGCGUGGAAAGUUUGAACUAAAAUUUCGCAAUCAGAAAAAAGUGUUUUAUCAUCCAAAAUAAGGACGUAUGAGAGAUCUGGAAGAAUGUUCUUACCGCCGUCAAAAUGUGGAGGCAGAACAUCGAGAAAAAUCUAAUAACGAGAUUUUUAGUAUCAUAAAGCGAACAAUAGAUCUGUGUGGUCUGUUUACAAACCAUUAACUGAUUCAUAUAUUCGGGAGCAAAUUCGAUGUUCAAUAAUUAAUUCUGCAUUAAUAAUCUAAAUCUAUAGUGAAUUGCAAGAGUCAGAGGCAAUUUGAAAUAAUCCAACUCCUCAAUUUUAAAACCAUACAUUAUUAAUAAAAGCAAGAAAAUAUUGCUAUUAGUUGCUAUUACACUAAUCACACUAUUGUCUUCUGGUUUCCGUUACAGACACGAAUCUUCAAAAGUUCAUUUCCUUAUGCUUCUCGAAUCCUUCGAUUCAUGACAUAAACUCUUUCAUUCUAUUUUAAAACGUCGCUCUUCGCCAUCUCUCGCACUUUUGUAAGAGUAUAAAAUCAAAGGUAAAUCUGCACAACUCUGUAAUUUCCUAAUCUAAGAGUCCAUCUCGAUAUACAUUGCGUAGACAUCGCGACCAAAUUAUGCUAUUUUAAUGGCUGUGUUUUUCAUUAUAAAUAGACUUCAAUAAGUCUUUGACAUGGAACAUGACACAAGUAUAACUGCAGCUCAGUUUUUGGAAUGCUCAAUAGUUGAAUUGUCAUGUUCUGUUUCUCGAGAGAUGCGACAUUGAGGAUUCGUGAUAUUUACAGAAGAGUUCGUUGAAUUAACAAAAUAUUUUUACAUUUUUGAAAUUUAAAACAUGUUGAAAGCACAACUUUUAAAGAUAAGAACAGAGUCGUAAAAGAUAUAUAAAAAAAUGUAUAUUUUACGCUAAUAAAUUUAAUUUUCAUGAUUUGUGCAUUACUGUGCAAAAAAUAUAAAAUAAUGAUUAGUCUUUAUUAUUUCCUACUCAUUCUCAUCCAUGCGAGUAUGCAUGCAUUCGUAUGAGAAAUUAAUAAACGAAUCUAGAAAAUCAACGAUCAAUUGACGAGGUAAUAUCAUUAAUAUUAAUAGAAAGUUUUAGUCUACGUCUUUAUAAUUUUUCUCAAACUAUUUUUUUUAUACUAUCUCGAAAAACUUUCGCAUAAUUACUUCUUAUGCUACAACUGAUAGUUUAGGCUAUUUGAUUUGCGUGAACAUUAAAUCGAUGUACAAUUAACGAGAAAAUAGCAGCGCGUGCGAAAGGAGAUAAUUGUGGAACUGAUAACACUAAUGAGAUGUAUACGAAUAGUGCAAGGCUAAUGUACAUCUUAUCGAUAAAGCAAUCUCGGUUUAAUAGUUAACCUUGAAAAAAAAAUUCGUUUCCUAAUCUGCAACAUUUCUUUAUUUUAGAACGUUCAAGUUUUUAUUUAAUUUGUUCACUCUCUCCGAUCCAACAAUUGGCAAAAUUCUUAUUUUACACUUCGUAUCAUCAAACAUCACACAUGAUGAGGCAAUGCAAAUGCUUGAUAUAUUAUUUUUAAAAAAAGUACAAAAUAUUUUAUAAGCAUUACCAAUUUAUUAUGUCUGUCGAGGAAGUAUACCAGUACAACAAUAAGUAUGAUAUGGGUUGGAGAAUACAUCAUAACACGCGUCCUAAUGAAUAAACAAGAUGUAGAUUCUUGUUGAAUAUACUUUUUUUAUAAUUUUCUCAUUUCUAUAUAUAUUAAUCGAAUUAUGCUGGAAAAUACGAACCCCGCGAGUAGCGAUAAAACGAAUAUACUGUCUAGCAUUUAGGAUAAAGUCAGUCGUGACUAGGCAUUUGAUACAGGCACACUAAACUAUUAAUCGUUAUACCUUCCAUUAUAUUCCAAGGAUCUUUUAUAUUUUAAGAAAAGUUUAACAAAUUAUCAGAAGUGGAAUAUUACAUAAGAAAACGAACGUGUGUUUGAAACGGAUGCAAAUUCAGCAAAACUCAUUAUAUUACAUAUAUGAGUAUAGUGUGCAAGAAAAUGAUUGGAAUGGUAAAAUCAUUUCGCCGGUUAUUAGUACAUCGUAUUGUUAAUAGUAUGGUGUAUUGACAUUCGGAAAGCCGUAAAAAGCGUAUAGAUAUUGGUAAAAUACUGGUUAAAUAAUUGUAAAUAAGAGAAGUGAACGAUGUGGAAGAAACUUUUUGACAACAGGAACACGCCAAGGAAUAAACAAAGUAAGCAAAUGAAAUCUAUGAACAAACAAAUGUCAAUAACAUUAGAGGACACGAAUCAAUAGGCAGUGUGUCAAAAAAUAGCGACAAAGCUAUAAGUAUACCGAACAAAGGAAGGGAACAACACUUCAAAACACAAAAAAUUAUGGAAAGUACAGUAAAUUCUGGAAAUUCUAGAUAAUAAAAGAUUAUCGACAUUCCACUGAAAUAAAGCAAAUCACGAGGAACAGGAAAUAAUACAGCAACUGAGGAAAGCCAACAUCAUGGAAAAAAGUGAAUCUCCAUUAUCACUAUCUUUUAAAGUGGUCAAGAAAGAAAUUCAUGUGAACGACUUUCGAUUAUCGAGUAAUUAAUAAUAUCAUACAUUGUUAGACUAUCUACUUUGUUAAUAACCGUUAAUCGAACGUGCAUGUCCCUAUUGCUACCAUUUAAAUCAUAAAUAUUUGACAUGCAAUUUAACAAAAUAUGGUGUAGUAUGUCAAACUGUUCGUAUAUUCUCGAUAUUACCAUAUUAGUCAUUGCAUGUUUUUUGUCCUUAUAUUUAUAAAACUGAUCGAAUUCUCAUUGAUUUCAACGUGACAUAAAUUUUUGUAGAAUUCUUAAAUUAUUUCGGGAAGCAAAUAUUCAAAUUGCUAUAGCUUCUUAUGACCUUUAGCUAGACGAUAUACUCUGGUAUUAUACAUUAAAAAUUUUCAUUUGGUUCGUCUUCGUCUCUUUUCACAAGUAUUGUGAAAAUUCAAUAUUUUAUCACUAAUUCGCAGCGUAGCAGCGAACCAUGUCGGCACUAAUACUUGUUUUUAACACAGAUAGACAAACCAAUGUAGUUUCAAUUUAACUCUGAGCGUGAUUAUCAUUGAUCCUUCAUCAAUGAAACUUUCAUUAUCCUUCUACUAAUCUAUAUCAUAGUUGAAUUCAUUGAAUCGUUAAAUUCAAUGAACCAAAGGCCUACUCGUAGAUUCAUAUUUCUUUUUUAUGUAAACAGUUCAAGCGAAUUACAGACAGGUUUAAUCAUAAUAUAAAAAUCGAUAUAGCUGACAUGAAAAUGUUUCGUCCUUCAACCAAUUGCCAAUGCCUUCAAUUCAUAUAAGCGAUAAUUUGACUCUCCUUGGUUGUUUUCUUGUUAAUCUAUUAAAUUAAGAGCAAACAACUGUCAACAUCUUCUCGCAACGACGCCCUUCCUAUUCAAUUUCUACAUAUAUCUGAUUGUAUUUCAGUAUCUGUCAAAAAGUUACAGAUUUUCUAUGGUACAUAAUUUUUCAGAAUCGGAUAAAUGACCCCACGUAUAUUGAAAUAUUUUCUUCUGUGCUUUGUCUCAAUGAUAUUUAAUUUUUUUCUUUUCUAAUUCGUUUGAAGUUAAAGACAGUAAAGUAUUUUAUGAAUCAUUGAAAAGAGUUAGCUAGAUCAAUGACAGUACGAAUUGAUUUCGUAUCCCCAAAUAAUGGUUAAACUCUUAAAUAAUUAAACUUUCAUUCUCAUAGAGCCCUCUGCACUGAUUUCAAGUCCUAUCUUUGUUCUCAACUAGUCAUUCAAACUGCAUCAUUCUCAAUUGUAAGAUAUGCCUUUUAGUUGUUUAAGCUUCAUUGUAAUAUCGCACCUUAAUGUUGUCAGCAUUUUUUAAUUUACCGGGAUGAAUUUGUGGUAAGAGCUGAUAUUUUGAAAUCAACUCUUGUAAUGCAAUUACUGGAUUAUUACUUACUGAAGUAUUUCCUUGGGAGUAAAACGGACAGCUUAACGGAUAGUUUAAAAAAAACAUUUUUGUACUUUCAUUUUUCGAAGAAUGGAUCAAGCAUUCGCUUUACUCCGAAUCAUAGGUGACGUUCUGUUAUCCAUUAAUUAAGAAUCCUUGACAAUUCCCAUUUCAUAAAUGGUGUAUGCGUAAUGAAUUAUUGUUUUAUUAAGAAUUAAUUUAACAUGAUAUGAAAAAUUUGUUUAUUAUUACUUCUGCUAUUUCUCAUCAUUAAUGAUGUUAUUACUUUAAUUUCGAUAUGUAUUAAAGUUAUAUUUUCUGCAACAGCCAAUAAUGUCGCUUGUUGACACUCAAUUUAAUUUGGUUACACUUAUGUAUUUAAAAAGUUGUGUUUAGGAGUUUUUUAAAUCGUUUGAAAUUGAAAUUUAGGAAAUAGAAUAUGUCUCUACUUGACCGAGUUUCAAACUCAGGCCAUCUGGAUUCAUAGAAAAGCACAUUACCCUUCGAGUUAUCCGCAUGCAUGCUUACCGUAACAUAGUUGAUCAUCUUGUCCCUUCUCUCCGGUUUCGUCUUCGAAUAAAUUCGAUGUCCAAUUGCAAAUUCUACAUUAAUAAUCGAAACGUAGAAUGACUUACAAAACAACCACAGGCAAUUUGAAAUAAUCCAUUUCUUCGAUUGUAAAGCCAAAUAUUGUUAAUAAAACCGAGAAAAUAUUUACACCAAUAAUCUUAUUUUCUGGCUUUCGUUACUGGCACGAGUCUCGAGAAGUUCAUUUCCUCGCGAUGCAUUUCUCCUUAAAUUCUUUGGUUCAUAACACGAACUCUUUCAUUCCAUUUCAAAUCGUCGCUCGUUGUUAUCACGCGCAUUUUUGUAAGGAUACAAAAUCAAAGAUAAGUUUUUACAACUCUAUAAUUCGCCGAAUUAAGGUUCCAUCGCAAUAUACAUAUCCAUAGUAAUAUACGUUAUGUAGACACGUUGGUUAAAAUUUAUCACUUUAAAAGUCGUGUUUUCAUAAUAAGAAGGAUUUCAAUAAGUUUCUGACAUGGAACAUGACACGAAUAUAGGUAAAGCUCAGUUUUCGGAAUGUUCACAUAUCGCGUUGCGUUUCUCAAAAAAUGUAACCUUGACGACUUCUGAUAUUUACAGAAGUGUUUAUUUAAUUAACAAUAUAUUUUUACAUUUUUGAAAUUUAAAAAAUGUCGAUAACUCACGACAAUUAAUGAUAAGAACAGAGUCAUAAGCGAUAUAUAAAAAAUGUAUAUUUUGCGCUAAUAAAUUUAAUUCUCAAGACUAUAUCUGUAUUAGAAGAAAUUUUUCAUUCUGUGUGCAAAAAGUACAAAAUAUUAAUUUUAUGUGUAUGAAUCU